Molecule: long non-coding RNA, 635 nt
Filed under: Capsella grandiflora
Lineage: Eukaryota; Viridiplantae; Streptophyta; Magnoliopsida; Brassicales; Brassicaceae
Description: long non-coding RNA (CGRA_LNC001595)
Source: RNAcentral
AGAAGAACACAAAUCAAUAAACGAUUUGGUAACAUACCAGAAUAGCUUCCUUCAUAGCUACCUUUGUGAGUUCCCAUCUGUAUAAAUCUUGAGACAUAAGUUCUAUAUCAAAAUUCUCCCAUUUACAUAUAUUUAUGUAUUGUUUCUCAUAACAACAGGUUUGAAAUGAAACAAAUCCAGUUUAUGAAGGAUUACUUACGAGACAUCAUAUUGUUGAGAAGAUGAAGGAGAUUGCAGAGAUGAAUGAGUAUCCAAAUCUUGGAGUAUAUUGAGAAAAGAAGACAAGAAAUCAGGUACCGUAGAAAGAUUUUAGUCCAAAAAUUAUAGAUGUUUGUCAAAUAAAUGGGGCUUCAUGGUAGCCUAUGUUCCUUCUCUGCUCUCCAUUUUUGUUAUGUCCUUAUCUCUCUCUCUUUGAUAGCACCAGUUGUAUAGUCUGAUAACAAACAUUUUACAAGUUAUAACAGAAACAAGAUCCAAGAUCCAGAAGCAUUGUCAGGGUCAUGUCUGGCUCAUGUUACAAUAAUGUAAGCAUCUAGACGAAAAGGUUCUGCUUAUUCGUAUCUCUAAUUAAAUUAAACUAUAAUAAUUAGUCUCUUGAUUUUAAUUUACAGACUCAAAAGAAAAAGACUAUCAAG